UUCUGGAUCGGGUUCGGGUAAUCGAAUUCGAGUAAGGAUUCCAUUUCCGGGAAGUACAUAUCGGGCUUCAUGUCGAGGGCAUCAACGAACUUGGAGGUGAAAUUGAGGUUGGGAAUGAGAAGAGAGUCAGCGUCGUCGUUUUUAAUGGUGGAAACGGCGUCGUUGAAGGCGGAGGAGGUGGACUUGGCGAUGGACUCGGCGGAGUCGAGGAAGGGCUCGACGGGGAAUCGCUCGUGGCGGCGCGCGAGGGGAUUGGCGGAGUGGAUGUCGGCGUCGCACGUGACGCAGAGGGCGGCGGCGUCGGCCUUGCACGUGACGGCGGCGGGGGCCUGCUCGCAGACCUCACACAUCCAGACGCGCUGGUGGCGCGAGGCGAGCUUGUUGGCGCAGUGGAUCUUGGAGUCGCAGGCCAGGCAGAGGUAGGCGGAGUCGGCGCGGCAGAAGACUGCAGCCGGCGACGACUUGCAGGUGUCGCAGGGCUUGGGGGAGAGGCCCGGGAGGGUCCAGCAGGAUUGGAUUCCCAUUUCCCAAAACGGCGUCGUAAUAUGGUUUCUUGGUCGCAAGAGUAUUUGAGGGCAAGGCUCGCAGUGCAGAGAAGACUUUGAUGUCUAUCGUCUAGUAUCUCUAUUUAGUGAGGGAGAGUGGGGGUGGGGGAGGAUAUCUAGGUGAUGACGAAUCGGAGGGGGACACGUGGGUGACUGUGCGCCACUAUAUCUCAGGGCGCCAAAUUUGGUUAUUACAAUCUAUUUUAAUUGAAAUUUUAAUUCGUGCUUCGGAGUAGUAGUUGUCAUGUGUCUGUGCCGACCUGUGCUGCUGGGACCCAGCUGGACGGAUAGACUAAAAAGUUGAUCCCUGACGCGUAUUUAAUUCAUGAAAUUUUACGAAAUCAAGGGGAGUAAAUCAUGAUUUCCUAAUUUUCUUAGGUCUGUGAAUCAAGUCACUGUUACAUAACUUACAUUAUUGCUGCUGAGCUGCACGAAAUUGUCAUCAAUUACGUUAUCUAAUAUGAGAAGGAAAAGUGAAAUUCACAUUUCUUUCUUAAAUUGUCAUCGGUAUUCUUAUUUUUCAUUUGUAAUAACUUAAAUUUUAUCUUUAUUAACUUAAUUUUUAAAAAAAGACUUAGGUGUCUUGAGGUAUUAAUACCUUACAAGAUGUCAUUAUUAUAUUGAUCCACGUAAGUCCACAUAGGACAGCAACUUCAAAAAGUGGAAGACUUCAGUCAGUCACGUUAACCAUACAAAGUUAACGCAACAGACGGACAGAGGCAACGUCCACAGACGGAGGCAAAGUCCACAGACGUGUGUUCUUCUCUGACUUCUCUGACGGAACGGAACAACGUUCCAAAACCCUAAACGACUGUCUCUCUCUCUCUUCGAUCAUUAAACCUAAACGGCUCUUUCUCUGUCUCUCUCUCAACGUCUCUUUCUCUCUCUCUCUCUCUCUCUCUCUCUCUCUCUCUCUCUCUAUCUCUUUCUUGAUCAAUCAAUCUUGCUCAUUCUAUAUCUGUGGCUCUCUAUAACCUAGACUCACUCUCUGUAACUCUUGAUCCUUCAAUCUCAUCGAGAGUCUUGAUUAUUCAAUCUGAUCGAGACUCUGUCUCUUCAGUAUCAGUAUCGAUCCCAUCUGAUCGACAAUCAGACUUUUCCUGUCGCGCUGAAUCUUCUCCUCUUUCGCCCAGUUCGGUGAGUUUUGUUUCUUCAUGAUCUUGUUUCAGUUUCAUAGUCUCAUGGUGUUUGUUUGAUACCUUUUUUCAGUUCCCUUGUUUGAUUUGUGAAUCUUGUACAUAUUGCUUCAUAUAGAAAACACUACUAUUUUAGGUCUUCUUUUCUAUUGUCAUGAUUCAUGAUUCAUUCAAAAGAGGUAAUCUGUGAAUCAUAGAUUUCAUAGAUUGUUUCAUGAAAGAAGUAGUUUAACUCAUGAAAUUGAGUAGACCAAUCAAUAUAACACAAGCGGUUCGUCAUUGCUUAAUAGGUCUACUAUUUUUUUGUAAUUUUCUACUUUAUAUACAAUACACAUCUUAUUAAAAAAGUAAUCGUAUAUACUACUAAAGUCGAAACACAGGUACAACCAGCGAUGGAUGCGUCUGAGAAUGAAAAACAACCGAAUAAGGGUGUAGAGGAUGUGGCAGUAGAUGUUU
This 2137-nucleotide long non-coding RNA is filed under the name Fragaria vesca (wild strawberry). Its description in RNAcentral is "long non-coding RNA (FVES_LNC001803)". The record is from RNAcentral. Lineage: Eukaryota; Viridiplantae; Streptophyta; Magnoliopsida; Rosales; Rosaceae.